CUCCUCUCCACAUCCCUCCUUCCCGUUUGGCUGCCUCCUCCCUGCCCUGCUGCACAGAGACACUGGUAAUAAUGACAACAACACACAGAGAAAGACUUUAUACUGUAAGGGAGAGAAAGAGAGAGAAAAUCAACAUCCACAAGCCGAAAAUAAUGCAUACCGUUAAAUAUACCUGUUAUAACUCCAAGGGGAGCACCAUCUACCUAUCCACCACCAAAACUGACAGCCGAGCAAGCAACUUCUUUCUCUCCACCCCAUCGCUGGAUUGUUCCUUCCACUCUUGCUCAUCGUAUAAAACAACUUUUACCAGUAAAUAUCGGUUUAUUCCUGAAACCAGAAGCCCUAAACAUAUCUUUGUUUAUAAGCUGUCUUUUUGUGAUUAUGAUUGUGCAAUAUUAUUGGCCACAACUUUAAUCUGAGCAAUUGACACUGGUCUAUCUUCAAAUCAUUCAGAAGACUUGAAGAGAACUCCUCUUUCUACUCUGGAAUUCAAAUGUAUAUAUUUUAUCUGAAGUACGUUAUUUAAAAGUCAAAUUUGUCUCAUCUUCAGUACCUAUACAAUUCAAAAAGUUCCAAAAAUACUAUAUUAUGAGCUUUACCUAUAUAGAUAAUUCCUUUCAUGAUUUCAAAUUGAAAAAAGACUUCAUUAAUUAAUGAAGUAUAUCAGCCGUGGUUUUUUUAGUGUCAAUAUUCUAAUUUUGUAAUAUUGUCAAUAUUUAAUCAAAUUGUUGCACAGAUGCCAAUUCAAUUUUAUUCAAAGGUGCUUGACUUUUCCAUACUAUAUUUCUGUCAGUAUUCAGGUGAUACAGAUAAUUCUGUGUGCAAACUUCCCACAAUACUAAAUAUCCCUAUAGAGAUAUAGAGAUACAUUCAUACAGCUGGAAUUCUAAGCCCAAUAUUGUUAAAUAUCUUUACUGAGUGCCUGUUAAUAUGGUAAUUUGAAAUUGUGUAUAACAAAAUGAUCAGGUUCACAAUGUCAGACUAAAAUUUCAAAUACUGAUUUGAUAGGCUAAACAAGGCCUUUUCUAGCUAAUUUGCUCUUGUUACUUUCAAGUGUUAAAACAAGCCAGGAUUUACCAAGUGUAUAUUUUUUUCAUUGCAGGUAAAGCAGAAACUAAGUCUUCAAAUGAGUCAGUAUUCAUAAAUCAACUUAGCCCCUUAAAGAUGGCUUCUAAUCCUUAAUUGUUAGAAAUAUUUAAUCAUAGUCAUGAGAAUCUAUUAAUAAAUUCAUUUUCCUAUUUUUUUCUUAUCCUCACAAUCAGAAGGAAGAAGCAAAACGUGAUUAUACCACAUGUACCCAAAAACUGCUAAGAGAUAAUAUGGUUUAUUUUGCCAUAUGAAGGUUUUUACUGCUUUAUGUGCAAAUCUGGCCAGUGAAUUGGUAGGGUUUGUAAAUAUUUUUGAAUAGAUGCCACCAGAAAGAUAGUAAAAACUGAAAGACACUUUAAAAUUUGACAGAAUAAAAACUGAACAAUAGUUUAAAUUAGUUUUAAAAUUCUUUGGGCCUGAGAUCUUCUCAAUUUUCUGUCCUCUUGAAUUUUUAACUUAGAAUGAACUUGGUUCAAAUGUAGGAUUUGUCCCAAGGCUUUAGCACCUUGUGCACAGUUUAAACAUUUCCAAACUGUUUUCUAGGUAAGAAGAAUAAUGGGAACUACUCUGGAAAUCAGUGCUUGUUCUGAGAAUCUUUUCUUCUCAAGAUGAGGUACCUGCACAAAUAAUCCAGGAAGUUCAGAAUGUUAUUGUCUCUUGAGAAAUAUUGACUGUUGGAUGACUUUUUGUUAUCUGAAUGUAGGGGUACUGUUAAAAUUUAUAACCACUUUUAAAAUAGAAGGAUUUCCUUUUUCUCACAAUGGUGCACAUCAUUGUAUUUGAAUGGAAAGAUCUGACGGGGCAAAGUAAUCCUAAAUACCUUUCCUUUCUGGAUUUAGAAUGUUUUGCACAUUUCAAUUUUCUGUAAAGAUCAGAACAAUAUUUCUCUUGUCUGCAUAUUUUUGCUAGUUAAUAUUUAUUAGAUGUGCCAAGCUCCAUUGGAUAUAUUUUUCUGUAACUUCUGAAAUUAUUAAAUAACCAUAUACUGUAUGAGUGCACACAUUAGAACACUGGAAUGUUGAACUAAGCAUUUUUAUGUAAAUAAUUACUACUUUUCAGUUGCAGAAAAGCCUGGAUAUCAUCUCAUAACUGUUGUAUUUUGCUCUAAUGGGAAAUGUUCAGACAUUCUGUGAUAUAUGUACUUGUGCCAAUGGUUAUGUGUAACUACUAAUUAUAAAUUGUAAACAUGCUUGUUUCAUUGUUCAGAAUAGUAUUCUCUUGUUAAAAAUAUUUUCAGUGAAAUGUGAAAAGGAAUUUAUUUAUUUUUUUAAGAUUGUCUUGCAAGGUCUGUUUUCUCUACUUUUUUCCUAAAAAAUAGUAGGGUAAAGAUUGGAAUUUUGUCUAGUUUUUCACUUGAUAGACCAAAGUUACUAUUGACACUGUCUUGCAAUGCUGAUCAAAUGUAUAUCUUUUUGCACUUUAAAUGAAUAAGAAAUGAGGAAAAUCAAAGUGUCAAUUGUACAUACAUUCACUGUACAGUGAAUGUAUACCAUUAGUUAAUCUGUUUUUAAACAGAAUAUUUUCCUUUGUGGGAAGGGGAAUACUCAAGCAAUGUAUUUGCUAGUCAAUAUAAAGUGUUUACAUGUAAUUACUUAAUAAAUUAUUUGAUUUAAGAUGAAUCUUUCUGGUGAUUUUUAAAUGAUAACUAUAAUAUCUGGUUUUUGUCAGGGUAUAAGUAUUUAAAAAGUAUAUGGAAUAAUCAGUUUCAAUAUAUUCAUUUGAUUAAAAUUCUGAGGAAGGCAAAAGUCCUGAACUUGAGGCUGCGUGCAGGAACUUUGCUUCACUUUGCAUUAGACACCUUACAGCCUC
Long non-coding RNA from Pseudonaja textilis, 2898 nucleotides. NCBI's taxonomy places the organism in Eukaryota, Metazoa, Chordata, Lepidosauria, Squamata, Elapidae. The record is from Ensembl.